This 1282-nucleotide ribosomal RNA is filed under the name Narcinecotyle longifilamentus. Its description in RNAcentral is "partial large subunit ribosomal RNA". It matches the Rfam family "Eukaryotic large subunit ribosomal RNA", at positions 106 to 969 of the family's 3401-position model. The record is from RNAcentral. Lineage: Eukaryota; Metazoa; Platyhelminthes; Monogenea; Diclybothriidea; Hexabothriidae.
AGCCCAGCACCGAAGCCCGUGUCCAUUUGGAUGCAGGGCAAUGUGGUGUUAAGGUGGGUACUUUUGAGUGCUGCUCUGUCCCAAGUCCAAGCUUGAAUAUGGCUUUUGUUCAGGCCCAGAGAGGGUGAAAGGCCCGUGGGGACUGGAGUGGUGCUUGACUGUGCCUGCUAUGGAGUCGGGUUGUUUGUGAAUGCAGCCCAAAGUUGGUGGUAAACUCCAUCUAAGGCUAAAUACUGGCACGAGUCCGAUAGCGAACAAGUACCGUGAGGGAAAGUUGAAAAGUACUCUGAAGAGAGAGUAAACAGUGCGUGAAACCGCUUGGAGGUAAACGGGUGUAGUCAAGCUGCAAGCCCCGAGGAUUCAACCGAUGAGUAUGGCGCGAGCCUGGGCACAUUGAGUGGUUGGAGAGGACCGUCAGAGGCGGACAAGACUUGCUCUCGUGGUAGGUCUUGGGCGAGGGCGUAAUUGUGACGUCGCGCGCUUCUCUUUCCAUGCUCAGCUUGUCGGUGCAUUUCUUCGGGGCGUCAGCCACGACCGUCGUUGCUGUCGGUCUGCUCUAGCUAAACCUGCUGAGCUGGGUCUUGUGCUCAUGUUCAGUAGGCUGGCAGGUAACCUGAUAAGUCUUCUGAUUUCUUGGGUGUAAUACGGCUGGCUAGAGUGGUACUUAUAACUGUGCAGUGCGGCGGAGAUUGCGGCCCGGUGUGGCGUGGCGUGCUAAAGUAUGUUGGCGCAGUUUAAGUUUGGCCGCUUGUUGCCGAUUCAGUUCGGCCUUGUGGUGGCUUGUCUGCGGUUUGAUGUACGGUGGCGUCCGCUCAUCCCAUGCGUGGUGCCUACAGUCUGUGGCGUCGUAGUGGUAGACGAUCCACCCGACCCGUCUUGAAACACGGACCAAGGAGUUUAACUCAUGCGCGAGUCAAUGGGCUAUAUUUUCUUACGAAACCCAAAGGCGCAAUGAAAGUAAAGGUUUUAGUGGUUCUCGGACUGCUUGACUGAGGUGAGAUCCUGCUGUUUCUCGAGCUAGCCACGACUAGGCACUAGAGCAGUGGGCGCAUCACCGGCCCGUCCCAUGGUGUAGCAUGCUCUCGGGUGUGCAGCAUCGGGGCGGAGCAUGAGCGCAUGAGUUGAGACCCGAAAGAUGGUGAACUAUGCUUGCGCAGGUUGAAGCCGGAGGAAACUCUGGUGGAGGACCGUAGCGAUUCUGACGUGCAAAUCGAUCGUAUGACGUGAGUAUAGGGGCGAAAGACUAAUCGAACCAUCUAGUAGCUGGUUCCCUCCGAAGUUU